AAGGGAAAUCACUUGCAAAAUAAAACGAAUCCAUUGAGCCAUUGAGUAGGUCUGAAGAAUCUCUUUUGGAACGCUUGGUCUUGGUUGUGCUUGGAUGUCCAAGUUUCCAUGGGCACUGACUGUGAAGGAUGAGGGCAGCAUAUGCCUCACUCUCAGAACAUAGAACUCUGAAUCAGCCUUGUUGACUUGACCACCUUCAGACUUUGUGUUUAGCUCACUGUUUACUACACUAUGAUACCAUAGACUAUGACAUAAAGAAUAGUAUUGUUCUAAUCGUACUUUCAGUAGCCAAGACUCUGAUGCUACUUUUUUCUCAUGAUUUAUGGCAAUGAUAAUUUCUUAAUUUCGUAAUAAUUUCAUACUACGGAAAUGAAUGAUAUAAUGGCAAAGAGUAGAAAAAUGAGUUACAAAUCAUGGCAGCUGGAGCAGAAGACCUUGGAUUAGAAAUAUGAAUUUCCUUUAAGAAAAAUAAAUACAGUGUGAGGGCCUCUGGUAACUCAUUGCUAUCUUUCAUAAUGCAUACCAUCCACCAGAUUGCAAAAUAUUCAAUGAAAAAACGAAAGCGGAGCUUUUUGUCAGUGCUGUGCUGUGUUAUGAUCGUGUAUGCUGGUGUCCAGUUCAUGUAUCUGAAUGAUGACUACAGCCCACUCCAGCUUUUGUCAAGCGUGGAAAAUGAAGCCACCCGUUUAAUGAGAUUCAUGGGUCAAGUCCAUUUGCAGUGCAAUGUCUCUCUGCCCACUAACAACGCCAGCACUUGGGUCCUGUGUCUUGACCAGGAUGUUGGUCUCCAUUUAUGGAGUGACGAGACAUACAAAGAUGGAAUUGUGUACUCAAUAGGACCAUCUCCUGACUUCAGUUUUGAAAGAAUGGUGGCUGACAAUUUGUCUCACCAUUUGUACAUCUUCUCUGCGCCAGUACCUUAUAGAAACCAACUUAUUCGCAUCAGCAACACUACCAGCGUUUUUAAAGUCAACAUAGUUCCCAAUGACCCAGCCGAUUUUGCCCGCAACUCGUUUGACACUCAAACUUUGAACUCGGUGAUGUCCACCUUGAAGCAUGGCCAGAUUGAUGUUCUGAAGUUAGACAGCAACGUAGAGGGCGUACAGUCAUAUGAUGUCCUCCGCUUCCUGGUAGAGGAUGGUAUCCUCAAAAAAGUCAAGGAGUUGCAUAUUGUCCUGAAAUUAGAUAAAGUGGAGGAGGAUGACAUCUACAGUUGGUACCGUGCCCUGUAUGGACUUUUUCACACAGCUGGGUUUCGUUUGUACCACUCUUCUACCUCCGACCCUCUGUGUCUCCAAGCGACAAUCAUGGAAUCUUGUAUUUAUUAUAUGUCCUGGGUGAGAAAACCCCCGCCUCACAUCCUGGUCAUGUACCCGCCAGCAAUUGAUGGUUCUCUCCACAAUGAAGAAGAUCGCAUGGUUAAUUUCUUAGAGCAGUCAUCUUCUCAGGACCAUAGAUUUGUGCCAGUGCCCUUCAACUCAGGGGGACAGGGAAUGAGUAUCUUCAUGCCUUUGACCUUGGCUCCUCGCAAAUUUCGAGCAAGCUCAGUUUUCUUUUUUCAAGGCCAGAAUGAUAUGCCUGUGGAGUCUGUGCCAGGUUCCAAAGGUAUCCACUGCCAGGCCUACACACUCAGCUAUGAGAUUACAAAUGGCAACUCUCUCACAGUGUACCAGCGUAGACAGUCGUCAUCCAGAGAAGAAGCAAAAUGGGAAGAACUGACCACGUCAACAUGGCUGAAGCUGCUAAAAGAGUCGGGUGCCAACAUUUUGGUCCUUAACAUAGUCCCAGGCUGGACACUGUUGUCUCAACUUUCAUAUCAUGGCAUUCCAAAGACACUCACUACUUGACUUUCGGUCAGAGCUGCCACCUGCAUGUCUUCCGUGCUGCGUAUUUUGUCUGUGAGAUACGCCCUGAUACCCAGGCUAUCCUUGAGGCCCCUGGCACUGGUCAUCCCGCUCUCUUCACGGACUCUUUCCUCACCGUAUCUCAAUCUUAUCUGUGUAUCUUUGUCGUUGUAUUUAAAGUAAAUCAAUCAUAGCAAGAAAGCUAAAAUAACUCUUCGUCAUUGUAUUUAAGUAAAUCAAUCAUAGCAAGAAGGCUAAAAUAACAAGAGGGUAAAUGCAUUGAUUUCUAUAAGGCUUUAGCAUGAACAUACAAUACAUGUAUUACUCUUUUGGUGAAAAAACAAGAAAAGAUAUUUAUUUCUUCCUCACUUCCGGCAUACAUGACGAUGCAACUGAUGCAUAUAAUAAACCAUCAUAUAUGUCA
RNAcentral lists this unclassified non-coding RNA (2268 nucleotides) under Aplysia californica (California sea hare). RNAcentral describes it as "uncharacterized LOC101854600, transcript variant X1". Lineage: Eukaryota; Metazoa; Mollusca; Gastropoda; Aplysiida; Aplysiidae. The record is from RNAcentral.